AAUCGGAAGAAUUCAGAGAACUGAACAAGAGAUGUGAAGCAGAGGAGGAGGCAUCAGCAGGCCUACGCCUGAAGAGCCAGAGGAAGGGGCUGUCCCUGGACGGAGAGCAGCUGUAGCUGGAGAAGAGGAUGCCCCAGCAAGAGCUGUGAGCUUCAGGCAUGUCACUGUAGGCCAACCCAGUGCCCAGCGCAUAGUAGGUGCUCCGUGAGAAGGAAGCUGGAGUUGGCGAUGCACUCUUGGAGGCACUGGAGGCUCCAUUCCCUACCUCUGGCUAUAGCAAUUUGUGUGACAUCCAGGAAAGCAAUGAUGGGUGGAGGAACAAGACCAGCAUGGAAGGUAAGGAUAUGAGUCCUGGAACCAGACUUUCUGGGUUCAAAUCCUGCAUCCAGUACUAUAGUGAGCUUGGAAAGUUGCUAAGACUCCCUCCUCCAUUCUGGGGUCUCAGUUGUCUUAUCUAAAAAAUGGGAAUAAUGAAAUGAAUAAAUACAUUUAAAGCUUUUAGCAAUGAUAAAGGGCUCCAUAAAUGUUAGAUAUUACUGUGAUUGCUAGU
Leptonychotes weddellii (Weddell seal) is the source of this 550-nucleotide non-coding RNA. The record is from RefSeq and is a predicted model, not a curated record. Lineage: Eukaryota; Metazoa; Chordata; Mammalia; Carnivora; Phocidae.